AAGUCGUAACAAGGUAUCCGUAGGUGAACCUGCGGAUAGAUCAUUACUAAAGGACCUAUCCAACGUCCUGUGAACUGUUUUGAAAUUCGUGUCAGCGACCUCACGGCUGCUGGCAUACCCCAUAAACGUAUAACCUAAACUGAAAUCUACUAGUAAGAACUAAGAGAACUUUUAGCAACGGAUCUCUUGGCUCUC
This 195-nucleotide unclassified non-coding RNA is filed under the name fungal sp. RNAcentral describes it as "partial internal transcribed spacer region". The stretch from base 1 to 46 matches the Rfam family "Eukaryotic small subunit ribosomal RNA", at positions 1786 to 1831 of the family's 1831-position model. Lineage: Eukaryota; Fungi. The record is from RNAcentral.